Long non-coding RNA from Siniperca chuatsi (mandarin fish), 1168 nucleotides. RefSeq lists it as uncharacterized. The record is from RefSeq and is a predicted model, not a curated record. NCBI's taxonomy places the organism in Eukaryota, Metazoa, Chordata, Actinopteri, Centrarchiformes, Sinipercidae. The transcript is spliced from 3 exons.
AUAAAACCAUCUAGGAACUCAAUGUAAGCACAGAGUCUGCAGUCUGUCAUCAACACCAGUCUCCAAGGACAGCACAAGCAGGGCUCCAUCAAUGACUGUGCAAUAAAAAUCACGCACAGCAUAGGCUUUGUUUCAGAGCUGAUGGCACCCCUACAGAGAAUACCCUGGACAACAAGAUCCUCCUGUGUAUUCAAAACCACAUGUUGUAUACUGCUAUUAGUAAACUAUACUCAUGAUUCUGACAAAGGUACUCUUACUAAUUGUAGUGUAUUUGAAUAAUUUUCCAAAAUCCAUACAAUUCUUGAUCUGCUAGCAGUCUGUUUAAUUUAAGUUUAUUUUAUGCAUUGCUUUUGAAUGUGCUAUAUAUUGUACAUUCAGUUGAGAGAAUGCAACACAUUAAGGAAUGGCCAUGAACUACAUAUAUGGAUAGCUUGUUUUAUGAAAUACUGAUUGAUCCAAUUUCAUUUGGAGUCUACUGCCAGCUUAUGGGGAGACGUCGUAACUUAUUGUACACAGUAUCACAUUGCAGUGUUUUCAGUACAAAUAGAGCCACACCAACGAGGUAAUGGUCAUGUUUGAAGUCCCUGUAACCCCCUCUUCUAAUUUGCUUAAUGACAUUUUUCAGUAGACUAUUAGAGAUUAUUUUUUUAUUUUUGUAUGGAUGAAUCAUUACAUUUCCACCCAAAAAAAUCAUUGACUACUUGCGGUUUGAUUUUAUCAACUAUCUUUCAAACAGAAGUUCUACAUGUUUCUAAUCCAAAUUAUGAAAUUAUUUAAGAAUUCCAGUAUCAAAACCAAAGAUCUAAAAAAGAUAAUACUCCAGUACGUUCAAGGCAAACAUAUUUUGAAUACAAGCAAAGAAAAUGUAGGCUACUAUACAUUAACAAAGAGUUUCAGCAAAUAGGGUUCUUUUAUAAUAACUGUAACAACUGAGAUAAUGUCUGUUGCAGCUGUUUUGCCUCAGGACAAAGUCAUGUUUACUGCACCAUCUUUACUCUGUCCUAAAAAGGGACAGCUAAAAGGGAAUGCUAUAAAGCAUUAUGUGUGUUUAAUGUGUACAAUAAGCCUAGAGGUUAAAAUUUGACACUCUUUCAUCUGUCAUUCUUGUCAUUUUGUGUAUCAGGCCUGAACAAUUAUUACUGAUUAAAGAAUAACAUCUACCCUUCUU